GGUCCCCACUGCUCCUCCAUGGAUGGGAACAGUCUCCUGUAAUUUUGGUUUCAUUAACACAGUAUUUUCUCAUCUUGGCAGGAAGGUGGGGAGGGAAUUUUCCUCUGAGACACUUGCAAGGCAAAGGGACAAGAGCCCAUGAUGUCUUUGUUCUGCGCAACCCAUGCAUGGUUAACCAAGUUGCUCCACCCCCACGGGAGUUGAGACCCAACAGGGAGCUGCAGGCCUCUGACUCAUCUUUGCCGAGACCUUCGGGUUUCCUGAAGUCCCAGCUGCUCCAGAUGUGUGCCUCAGUCACUACUCAACUCCCCGAGUGGAGGCUGAGAGAUAUCUAUUACAAAGCCAUUCUAGUACAGCUGUCCUCCUUUACCCAUGCUGUCAAUUAAAGUACUAAAAUGUUAAAUGGAAA
Mastomys coucha (southern multimammate mouse) is the source of this 409-nucleotide long non-coding RNA. RefSeq lists it as uncharacterized. The record is from RefSeq and is a predicted model, not a curated record. The transcript is spliced from 2 exons. NCBI's taxonomy places the organism in Eukaryota, Metazoa, Chordata, Mammalia, Rodentia, Muridae.